This 495-nucleotide ribosomal RNA is filed under the name uncultured bacterium. Its description in RNAcentral is "partial 16S ribosomal RNA". It matches the Rfam family "Bacterial small subunit ribosomal RNA", at positions 28 to 507 of the family's 1533-position model. The record is from RNAcentral.
GACGAACGCUGGCGGCGUGCCUAAUACAUGCAAGUAGAACGCUGAAGGAGGAGCUUGCUCUUCUGGAUGAGUUGCGAACGGGUGAGUAACGCGUAGGUAACCUGCCUGGUAGCGGGGGAUAACUAUUGGAAACGAUAGCUAAUACCGCAUAACAGUAGAUGUUGCAUGACAUUUACUUAAAAGGUGCAAUUGCAUCACUACCAGAUGGACCUGCGUUGUAUUAGCUAGUUGGUGGGGUAACGGCUCACCAAGGCGACGAUACAUAGCCGACCUGAGAGGGGGAUCGGCCACACUGGGACUGAGACACGGCCCAGACUCCUACGGGAGGCAGCAGUAGGGAAUCUUCGGCAAUGGACGGAAGUCUGACCGAGCAACGCCGCGUGAGUGAAGAAGGUUUUCGGAUCGUAAAGCUCUGUUGUAAGAGAAGAACGAGUGUGAGAGUGGAAAGUUCACACUGUGACGGUAUCUGACCAGAAAGGGACGGCUAACUACGUG